ACAGAAGUGGUUGGGCGUCGUGAGGAACGCAUCGGCGGCAGAACACUCAAGCGGCUGGUUGUUGAGAGCACGCCAGCUGAAGAGCACCCCUGCACACUGGCAGGCCAUCCACAGGUGUCAGAAACUCAGCUCAGCUGGAAGAAACUUGAUGUACCAGGUAUCAGAGUAGCAAGUAAAGCCACAAGCCAAAAAUGAAAGAGAAUCUUUUAAGUGCUUAUCGUGAUGGUGUAAGUAAUUGUCCAAAAGAAACGCCGAUUCCUUCUGUUCCAUUUUUACCUGUGGAUUGUGGAUUGAAAUAACCAUUGGACCAUGAGGAGAGACUCUGAAGAGAGAGACUGCAAUGUGCUGACUGUGCACCAAGUCUGUUCCAGAGAGGGUGACUACCUUCCUUGAGGACUGUCAGGCUAGUGAUAUGUGAUAUAAUACUCUUUUGUGACGUUGGACCAUGGCAGUGAGCCGCAGCUCCCAGUCAGCAAUGCGAUCCCAAGAAUAAACAACCGAUUCUUGACAGUGUCCUAUGUUGCCAGUCGAUUUUGUUCAACAGUAGGUACAUGCAAGUACACCCCACUCCCAAAUUAAAAAGAUUGACCUUAGCCAAACAUAACACGAGAGAGAGGCAGAAUCUCACUCUGUCACCCAGGAUGGAGUGUGGUGGCGUGAUCAUAGCUUACUGUAACCUCAAACUCCUGGGAUCAAGCAGUCCUCCCACCUCAGCCUCCAAAGUAGCUACGACUACAGGCAAGCACCACCUAAUUUAAUCUUUUUAUUUUUUUAAAGACAAGCUCUUGCUAUGUUAACCAGGAUGGUGUAGAAAUCUUGGCCUCAAGCAAUCAUUUUGCCUCCACCUCCCUAAAUGUUGGGAUUACAGGUGUGGGCUACCACACUUGUCAAAUGAUUUCCUUUCUUUUGGACAUAUAAACAUCAAUGGGAUUUCUGAAUAAUAUGGUAGCUCUAUUUUUACAUGUUUACAGGAACCUUAUACUGUUCUCCAUAGUGGCUGCCUUAAUUUACAUUUCUACCGUCAGUGUACAAGAAUUCCCCUUUUCUACCUCCUCACCGGUAUCUGUUAUUUUUGAUACCUUUUUGAUAUAAACCAUUUCGAUACAAGCCAUUUUAACUGGGAUGAGAUGAUAUUUGAUUGUGGUUUUGAUUUGCACUUCUUUGAUGAUUAGUGAUGUUGAACAUUUUUCCAUAUAUGUAUGGGCCAUUUGUAUGUCUUCUUUUGAGAAAUAUCUGCUCAGAUCUUUUGCCAAUUUUUAAAAUCAGAUUAUUUGCUUUUUUUAAAAAAAACUAUUGAGUUGUCUGAGCUCCUUAUAUAUUCUGGUUAUUAGUUCCUUGUCAGAUAGAUAGUUUGCAAAUAUUUUCUCUUACUCUGUGUGUUGUCUAUUCACUUCUCUAAUUGUUUCCUUUGCUGUGCAGAAGCUUUGUUAGAUUGAUGUAAUCACAGCUGUCUACUUUUGCUUUGGUUGCCUGGGGUUUUCAGGUCUUAAACACACACAAAAAAUCUUUUUCCAGAGCAAUAUCCUGGAGUUUUCCCCCAGUGUUUUCCUCCAGUAGUUUUAUAGUUUCAGAUCCUACAUUUCAGUUUUUAAACCAUGUUUUACUUUCAUUUAUUGGUUGGUGAGAUACAGGUGUCUAGUUUUAUUCUUUUGCAUAAAGUUAUACAAAAGUCUAUAUAUACCAGUACCAUUUACUGAAAGUACUUGCCUGUUCUUGGUGCCUUUGUCAAAGAUGAGUGGGUUGUAAAUGUAUGGAUAUAUAUCUGGGUUCUCUAUUCUGCCCCAUUGGUCUAUGUGCCUGUUUUCAGUCCAAUGCCAUGAUACUUUGGUUAUUAUAGCUUUAUAGUAAAUUUUAAAGUCAGAUAGUGUGAUGCCUCCAGCUUUGUUCUUUUGGUUCAGAAUUACUUUAGCUAUUUGGGGUUUCUUUCUUAUGGUUCCAUAUAAAUUUGGGGAUUUUUUUUCUCUUUCUGUGAAGAAUGUCAUGAAUAUUUUGAUAAGAUUGCACUGAAUCUGUAAACUGAUUUUGAUAGUGUUGCCAUUUGAACAUUAAUUUUUUUAAUUCAUGAGCAUGUAAUAUCUUUUCAUUUUUCUCUGAUGAAAAAGUGCUCAACAUCACUCAUCAUCAAAGAAAUGAAAAUCAAACCACAACGAAAUAUCAACCCACCCCAGUUAAAGUGGCUCAUAUCAAAAAGACAGGCAAUAAUAGAUACUGGUGAGGAGAUGGAAAAAGGGGAAUCCUUGUACACUGUUGGUAGAAAUGUAAAUUAGUAAAUCCACUGUGGAGAACAGUAAAUUCCAUUGACAUAUUUUAUCUAUGUUCAUCAGGAAUGUUGGCCUGUAAUUUUCUUUUUGUUUUGAAGAAAUUAUAUUUCUUUCAUCUGAGUUUUAUAGUUUUUCUUGGAUAGAUCUUUCACAUCAUUAGUUAGAUUCCUACAUAUUUUAUAUUUUUGUAACUAUUGUAAAUGUGAUUGCUAUCUUGAUUUCUUUUUCAAAUUGUUCCCUAUUGGUGUGUAUAAAUGCAACUGUUUUUGUAUGUUAAUUUUGUAUCCUGCAACUUUACUGAAUUUAUCAGUUUUAACAGGUUUUUGCUUUUGUUUUUUCUGGAAUCUUUAGGUUUUUCUAGAAGAUCAUGUCAUCUUCAAAUCAGGCUAAUUUGACUUCUUCCUUUCCAAUUUCGAUGCCCUUAUUUCCUUUUUUGCCUAGUUGCUCUGCCAAAGACUUCCAGGGUUAUGUUGGGUAACAGUGGUGAAAAGUGAGCUUCCUUGUCUCCUUCCACUAUUUAUAGGAAAGGCCUUCAAUUUUUCCCUAUUCAAAAUGAUGUUAACCAUGGGUUCAUCAUAUAUGACCUCUAUUAUUUUGAUGUAUUUUCCUUGUCUUUCCAUUUUGAUGAGGAUUUUUAUGAUAAAAUGUGUUGAAUUUUAUCAAAUGCUUUCUGAUGGCAUAUAUUGAAAUAGAAAUCAUAUGAUUUUUGUUCUUGAUUCUGUUAAUGUGGUGUAUUAUAUUUAUUGAUUUGCAUAUAUUGAAACAUCCUUGCAUCUCUGGGACGAAUCCCACUUGAUCAUGGUGAGUAAUCUUUUUAAUGUGUUGUUGAAUUUGGUUUGGUAGUAUUUUGUUGAGAAUUUUUGUAUCUAUGUUCAUCAGGGAUAUUGACCUGUAGUUUUCUUUUGUUGUUGUGUCCUUGUCUGGUUUUGGUAUCAGAGUAUGCUGAUCUUUUUGAAUGAGUUUGGAAGUGUUCCUUCCUUUUCAAUUGUUUUGGUAAAUUUGAGGUAGAAUUAGUAUUGGUUCUUCUUUAAAUGUUUGGUGGAAUUAAUCAGUGAAUCUACCAGGUACUGGAUUUUUCUUUGAGAUUUUAACAUCAGGCUUAAAUCUCCUCAUUAUUGGCGUUCGUUUUCUAUUUCUUCAUGGCUCAAUCUUGGUAGGUUGUAUGCAUUCAGGAAUUCAUUCGUUUCUUCUAGGUUUUCAAGUUUGUUGGCAUACAGUUGAUCAUUAUAAUCUCUUAGCCUCUUAUAAUGAUUCUUUGUAUUUCUGAGGUCUCAGUUGUUUGUGUCUCCUUUUUUGUUUCUAAUUUUAAUUAUUUGGAUCUCUCUUCUCUUUUUUAGUCUAUAUAAGGGUUCAUCUCUUUUGUUUAUCUUUUUAGAAAAACAACUUUUCAUUUUAUUGAUCUUUUCUUUGGAGAAGACAAGAUGUUUAUUGGUGCUUCUCCUUGCACCUCUAUUUAUGAAAGCAUUCAAAAUUGCUUUGCUGAUAUGAAAGAUUAAUUUAUUGGUUUCUCUGACGUAAGCUUAUAAUUUAUUUAAAUCUAAAUUGUGCAAAGACAAUCCAACCUUCGAUGAACUUUUAAAAUGAAGUUGUUUGAGGUCCGGUUUUCCUAGAUACAAAGGAUACAUUUCUCAGGAAUAUUUUAAUAAUGGUUUAAUGAAAUAGCGUCACUUAAUUCUUAUGUUUUAUAUAAGAUAUUUUAAUUAAGAUGUGCCAAAACAGUUGAAGACAAUAAUUAACACAGGAAAACUACUUCAAAUAUAUCUAACAUACAUAAAACCAAUUUUAAACAUGUAGACAUUUAUGUUUCAUAGUUUACAAAAGUGAUGGUCAUGUGAAAGAAAGUGUAAUGUAAUUAAAUUUUCACUUUAGUUUAGGAGAAUAGUAUCUAUAAUAUUGAAAUCUUUGUCUAAAAAUGCUCAGUACCAAGUAAAAUUAAAUAUCUGUAAAAUUAUCUCAAAUAUCUUAAUAUUGUCUGCAAAGCAAAAGGUGAUUAACUCUGCAUAUCAUUUUUAUUUUUAAAUUCUAACUUGUAAAGCGUAGUAAAAUUUUCCUGUGCAACACACACAUAUAUUGUCAUGCAAUGUAAUAUUUAUUCAAAAACUUAGAGAGAUUCAUCUUUUAUUCCUUGAGGCAGAAAAAUGAAUUAUUUGAACUAAAAGAAAAAUGGACAUGUGCUCCUGUAUGAGGAAUAUUUAACCCCAUGUCUCUGAGGGUGUUUCUGUUUAAAUUACAUCACUACAGUUAAACAUAUAUAAUAUACCAUGGUAAUUGUGAAACACAAAAUUCAUACCUACUGAACCAUUUCCUUGAUAAUUUUUCUCUUUGUACCCCUAUAUAUGAAAUUCUAAAUUCUCUUACAGAUAUUAGAGAUUAAUUUAUUAAUUUGUCUGCCAAACCUGAGUUUAUAAUUUAUUCAAAUCAAAAUCAAUAUUACUAUAUAUUACUUUGUUGUCUUUCAGAGAUCAGUAAUUAUCUGUGAGAGUAUAGUAUUUAGUUUUAGGAUUAUUAUACAUAUAGUUAAUCAUAAUCUUUAAUUAGGUGCAGAAAAUUGUGUAGUUUUAAAUUCAUAUAUUUGGCUGCAUUAGUUAAAAGGCGCUAGGCAUUAUUUUGUUCAGGUACUUUAGGAAAAUAUCACAAAUGAUUACUUUGGAGGAUGAUAAUUGAGUAGGCACAGUGUGAAGACAAUCAGAACAGUAGUAAUAGAAACUAGAAGGGCCUCCCUAUAAAGGGAGAGUAUGAGGGACUGCCUGGAGAUCAUGCUUGGUCAUAGUGCCCUGGGAAGACUCCCUAACUACACAAAAGGUACACACUUACGAAAUUACAUAAUUACUGAAAUGACAGUAAAUUCAAAGAGAAAUGAAUUGCAUUCUAUGACAAAAUGCAUAUGAAGUCGAGCAUCCUAUCCAACAGGGAAAGGGGGCUUCUUUAUAUUAAUUCAAGCAUCAAUAGCAUUUAGGGUACUCUUUCCUUUUAUUAUUUAUUUAAGGUUUGCUAUUUUUUUUCUUUCUGAUAUACUCUAUAAUUUGUCUAACAUACAAAGAAAGAUUAUACAGUUUUCUACCUCUUUGACUAUGAAUUAUUUAUAUCAUUUUACAAACAAUUUAAAUUACAACUGACAGCUGCUAAAUUACAUAGAUAUAUCUUGAUAGAAACAAAAUGCUCCUUGAAAUAAAUGACAUACUUAGAUGUAUUUCUUUUUCAAUACAAACAUAUGUUUUGUAGUACUUUUCGUAUAAUCUUAUCUGUUAAACUUGAGCAAGUAGAAGUGCCUUUUAUUAUAGUAGUAGAAAUACUUGUAUUUUGUGAAAUUCUCAUACAUUGAUGAAAGUAUCAUAGUUGUCUAUUAUUUUUAUUAUAAUCUUUCUAUUCUAGCAUAAGGCUAAGCCCAAUAUCUGUGCUCAGUUAAUUACUGUUAAUUUUUUGUUGAUAGGUAAAAUUUGUAAAUUCAAUUUUGGUUUUAUUUUUAGAAAACAAGUUUCUCAAUGUCUGUGGUUAAUUGCGUUAUACUUGUCUUAAAAUAAGUUUAUGAUAACACUGAUGUAUAAUACAUAAUUAAUAUUUUACUUCAGCUUGAGUGGAAAAAUGAAAAUCAUUAUAUAGUUUAAACAUUGUUUUGGUAGUCUUGAUUAACUGACAUCUUGCCAUUAUCACAAUUACAAUAGUAACAGUAAAAUUUUUGCAAAAAGUUACAAUUUAUAUUUUCAACUAUAAUUAUUCCUGUGGUUUAAUAGGUUUUACUACCUCUCCCUGAACUGAAAGAGAAACUCACUAAUAAAAAGUUUGCAGUGAUUAAUUAGAAACCUGUUGUAACCCAUCUUUUGAAGACAGAUAAAUUGUCUUUUCAUUUUCCUCAAGAUAAAGUUUUAUAGUAAUUUAUUUUUUCUUCCAUGGCAAUUCAUGGCUUGGAAAGUUACUUUUCUUGUUUUAAUAUAGUUCAAGUUUACAGAUAAAAAUAAAAAGUUCAAUUUGGUUUUAUAUAUGUGUAUAUAUGUGUAUGCAUAUACACAAACACACAGACACACACACAUAUAUAUAUUUAUUUAUUUAUAGAGAUAUCCAUUUAUGUAGAAUAAACUCACUCAAGCUUAUGUUCUGUUAACUUGCCAGAAUAUCUGAGAGCAAAGAAUGUCCAGUGCUCCCUAAAACUUUUCACAAAGUCAUUCACUGGAAGAGGGUCUUUAGGAAAUGAGUUAUGGUGCUAAAGAAAAAAUGUGAGCAGCAAAUCCUCUCUCAAAUCUCUACCUAUAUUUAUAUCCAUAUGGUCAUUAAUAAGAAGGAUUCCAGUUGUCUUUCUCAUCAUCAGUCUUAAGUAAUUGUAUCUAAAUUUAAAUGUAAAGCCCUUUUAAAUUAUUUUCAAGCUUUUCUGUUUUUCAAAAUUAUGGUGUCAGAUGGUAAAUUCAUUACACUUACAUGGAGAAUACAUUAUAAACGUUAAUUACUGUAUUUUGCUUUACAUGAAACCAAAGGUUUUGCAUGCCUUGGUUGAUAUAUAAUGGCACUUCAGUGAUGAAAAAGAUAAUUAUACAAAUCUGCUGGCCCCGACCUCAACGUCUGCACUGAAUUAUUUUUCUAGAUACAAUACCAUGUAAAUACAAACAAACAAAGCAAACACAUCAGGUAUGAUAUUGAAAAAAACAAAGAAAACAAAAGACAAAAAAUAGACACCUUCCAAAUAUUUUAUUCUCUCUAAAGAAUACUUUAUUCUCUCCCAAAACAUUUGGGAGAGAAUAAAAUAUGUUUCUUGGUUGGAUCACAAAUUACAGUUCAAGUAUCUUGUCCCAAUGCCUAAAAUAACUUUUUUUUGAAAUUUUUAUUUAUAUGUACUCUUGACAAAAUUGUCAAAAUCAAACACAUAACUCAUUAAAGACAAGGACUCAAAUUGUGUAUACUGAUUUAAUCUCAAUAGGUGUGUUACUAAUUUAAUGUUCACUUCAUCAUCUACAUAAGCUUUUUAAAGUGGCUAACAUCAAGAAUAAAAUAAAAUAUGAGACAAAUUUCUUGAAAGAAUUAUAUUAUGUGAAGCCAAUCUUGCUUUUCUUCGAAACAAACUGGUAUUUUAGUGAGACUUUCCACAUAUUUCACAUUGAAAAACUGACUUUAUAAAGGCAAAUGUUUUGACAUUUAAAAUAUGAUCAGGAAGAGAUGUGGGUAAUUCACUGAGCAUUCUGUGUCUCAGGUUUUUCUCUGUAAAAUCAGAACAUUAAGUAAAAUUAUCUUAUGUUUUUUUGCCAGCACUCUUCCAAUUAUGGAACAGACCAGUUGAGUAGCUCUAGGAAAUCCAAAUUGUUUCUCAGUUUUCUCUUUUGCAAAUCCCUGUUCCAUCAAUGUCAAAAACAUUUUGUGAAGAUAAUUAUGAUUAAAUAAGUGUUAACAAUUUUUUAAUGCCUAAAGAUGUGAUAGGAAAUGGUAACAAAAUUAUUUUCUAUAAAUUUAUUUAUAAUUUUUAUACUUAUAAGUUAAUUAUGUUAUUUAACUUUUUAAUAUAAAACAAUAACUCCAAAUAUAUUUUUCCAUUUUACUCAGUAAAUUUAAUGCUAUUUAAUAACAACCAUGUUCUGUUUGUUAUGCUAGUUAUCUCCAUUUGCCCCCAAAACAAUGUAUCUAGAAAUACAGUGAUACAAGAACAAUUUAUUUCUUCAACAAGAAGAAUGAUCUACUGUUUGUAUCAACUGUUUACCGUCUAUAAUCACUUAAUUUUCCAUCUAUGUUUCUCAUGCAAAUUAAAGUUAAUUUCCAACAGUUUAUUUCUGGGCCAGACCUCUCUCCUGUAUUUCAGAUUCAUAUGUCCAAAUACCUAUUUAACAUCUCCAAUUAAAUAUUUAAUGGAUAGCUUAUAUUUAAUAUAACCACAACUGUCAACAUUUUCACCUGUAUCAUCCACCAUUUUACUAAGAUAAUUCCAUUUUUGCAGUUGUUCAGUCUAAUAAAUUUAGAGUCAUGCAUAAUUCUUCUUAAGCAUUCAAUAAUCAAUCAAUCUAUGGGGGAAUCUUGUUAAUGCAAAACUAUGUACAAUCUAUUUUUUGUCCCUCUACAUCUCCAUCUACCCCCAUGUUUCAAACUACCAUCAUCUCUUACUUAGAUAAUGUCAUAUUUUUCAACUUUCACACUGGCCCACCUCAAUCGAUUAUCAACAAAGAAACCAAAGUGCUGAUGAUAUUAUUCAAUCGGUACUCCCUACUUACUUUCCAUCUCACUCAAAGUAAAAUCCAAGAUUCCUGGAAAAACUCAUAAGUUCUUCUCCACAAUCUGACAUAGCGCAUGUCUCAUUUCCUCUCUGCCAUCACUCUUGAGAUUUUUCCUUCACUUGGUCCACUGAAGCCUCAGCCUUGCUUUUCAAAUUUUCCAGACUUGCUACCCUGUACUCGUUUCCUAUGAGUGCAAUGUUCUUUCUGAUAUCCACAUGUCUCACCAAUUUUCCUUGUAGUACUCUCUACUUACUUUCCAUCUCACUCAAAGUAAAAUCCAAGAAUCUUACGAUGACUCAUAAGUUCCUCUCCACAAUCUGACAUAGCCCAUGUCUCAUUUGCUCUCUGCUAUCACUGGAGAUUUUUCCUUCAUUUGGUCCACUGAAGCCUCAGCCUUGGUUUUCAAAUUUUCCAGACUUGCUUCCCUGUACUCAUUUCCUAUGAGUGCAAUGUCCUUUCUGAAAGCCACAUGUCUCACCAAUUUACCUUGUUCAUCAUUUUGUUCAAAUGUUUUCUCAAAUUGUUGCCUUCCUUAAUCAUAUUACUAGAAAUAUUCCAAGCACUCCCUGUUUUUCUUCCCUGCUUCAUUUUCCUCCUUAGAAUCAUCUAAUAUCCUGUAUAUUUUUACUAAAACAUAGUUUAUUGUUUCUCUCACCCACCAGAAUAUAAAUUCUAUGAGACUAGAAAUUUUUAACUAUCAUGCUUACCUCUAAUGCCAGAACCGAGAUCAGUGCCUGGCACUGAAACAAAGAGAGAUUAUUCUAAUUAUUUUUCUUUUAAAAUUCUUCUGUUGAUUACUAGAACUGCAAAACUCAUCUCAAUAAAAAGUCUAUGGCAGUUAAAAUUAUAUUCAUAUUGCUUUUUCUUCUUAGUCACUUACAGUGAUUUCUAAUAUAACAAAAUCAUUUUAAAUGUGUAUUAGAAUAUGGAUAUACUUUCUGUAGCAGCCCGAAAAGAAAUAGAAAAAUAUCACAGUUUGAAACCAUAUAGGUCGUUUUGGUUGUUUUGUAAUUUUUAUUCUUAAAAGACAUUACAUUAUUAUAAAGACAUUGUAAACUUUACCCAUAAAGCUUGCAGAAUGUUGUGCAUUAAUUCGUAGGAUCAGAAUUAACAAUAAAACUCAAGCACCAUAUUUGUCUAGAAAAACCACCUCUCAGCUAACCAGUGAACAUGGAUAUAAAUAGACCCUGAAAUCUGCUCUUGGUUAAUUCACUGACUUAAAGCACUGUGACAGAUAAAACAAGUUAAACAUAAUUAAGAAGGCUAGCAUAUUAUCUGGGAUUCUAGUGCAAAAGAAAUAUGAAGAUAACCUCAAGAGGAUGACCUAGGAGGAAGACAAGACUCUAGCCAGGAUUUUGAGUGCUUACUUUAUAAAGCUGUCUGUAACAUCUGUAGCAGCAAUGUUCACAAUAGCAAAGACUUGGAACCAACCCAAAUGCCCAUCAAUGAUAGACUGGAUAAAGAAAAUGUGGUACACAUACACCAUGGAAUACUAUGCUGCCAUAAAAAAGGAUGAGUUCCUGUUCUUUGCAGGGACAUGGAUGAAACUGGAAACCAUCAUUCUCAGCAAACUAACACAUGAACAGAAAAUCAAACACCGCAUGUUUUCCCUCAUAAGUGGGAGUUGAAGAAUGAGAACACAUGGACACAGAGAGGGGAACAUCACACACUAGGGCCUGUCAGGGGGUGUGGGUCUAGGGGAGGGAUAGCAUUUGCAGAAAUACCUAAUGUAGACGACAGGUUGAUGGGUGCAGCAAACCACCAUGGCACGUGUAUAUAUGUAACAAACCUGCACAUUCUCCACAUGUAUCCCAGAACUUAAAGUAUAAUUUUAAAAAGCCAUCUUUAGAAGAACUUAUGAAUGGUAAUAUUAUCAGAAGAUAAGCCUAAAAAGCUUAAAUGUCUUAAAUUCAUUUUUAGUUGUAUUGUAUGUUAUAUACUCUGGGGAAAGAAGGAUGGAGAUCAUGUAAAAUGGACUAACGAUUUUCCUUCUCUGCCUCAAACACUUUUUGUCAGCAUUAUCACAAUAAGUAUAGUUAGUUGUAUGUUGUGCUAAACACAUUAAAGUCUUCUUAUUAAUACCCAUUUUAACCUUAUGUGGUAGGUUUUAUUGUCAGUAUAAAUCUAGGUUAAACUUUUUAACCAGAGUAGAUGAUGGUUUCAGGGCCAACACUAGUCUGUUGUCCUCCUAAGCCCUCUUGAAUAUUAUAGUAUAUUCUUCCCAUGGGAGUCCAAGAAAAGCCUGGAAAAAACAAGGGAUCAAGGGAAUGGAGGAAGAUGUUUUGUGGGAAGAAGAUAUAUGAGUUGUACUUGAGUAUAAAUCAUGCAUAGUGGUGUGCUAUGAAGUCUCUCCACACAUGACCGAGUUUACCUCAUAGAGCCUUCAACAAAAUUUCAUAUCUGAUUUUCUUUGAAGUAGUCUGAGUAUUAAAGAAAAGAAUGGAAAUUUGAUCCAGGGUUAAUUGCAGAGAUAACCAGAGAUGGCUAUAAAAAUACUAUAACUAUUUUUAAGCUAGACAGCUAUUUGUCUUUUAAUAUAAACUCAGUAAUUGAUAUGCCUAAACAUUCUGUCCAAUAUCAGUGAAUAUUUUUCUGACUUAUGAUUUAUUAUUUUAACUGACAGAUAAAAUUCUAUACAUUAUAUGUCUUAAAUUAUAUAUACAUGUGGAAUGACUGAAUCUAGCUAAUAGAAAUAUGCAUUACCUCACAUACUUGUCAUUUAUGUGGUGAGAACACAAGUGUUUUAAAUAUGUUUGCCAAAUUUCAGUUAAAAAACAGAAUUAAAUUUAAAAUGCCUAUAAUUCACAAUGUGGCCAUAAAAAUUAAUCGGAUCAAAUGGAUCAAAGCCAUUCAAAUAUAUCCUUAUUAACUGUUCUUGAUAUGGUAAAAUGUAGCUCAUAUUGUUUCAGAAUUUGAUUUUUUAGAUGUGGUUAUAAUUCUGCCAUACAAAGAAAGCUGCAUGGUUGAGAGAGAUUUCAAUUCCAAACUUGCAGUACAAAAACAACACUGCCACUUACCAGCCCUGCCACAACUUGCAAAUCACUUAAGCUUUCUGAGCUCCAUUAUAUUCAUCUAGGAAGUAGGAUCAAUGCACAAAAUAUUUUCAGUGAAUGCAGAGUAGGAGAUGACAAAAAGAGCCAUGCUCUAAUUCCACUCCACAUGAACACUUAAGAUAUUUCUCUCCAGAAAUCACCUGUAGACAAUAGAAAAAUAAAUUCAUACCCACUUAGUUAACUGUGUGAGAAUGUAAAUUUAAAGCAUUUUUGACUAGGGAAACUUUAUCAUAAUAAAAUGCUUUAAUUUCCCUGCGCAUGAAAUAUUUCCCCCAAGGAAUGUAUCUAUUAAUGGCAUGCUAUGAUUAAUUAAUUGGUUCUGGGAACUAUUAUACCAUAUUAGUCACUUUCACAUUAGUGUUCCCAAGAGUGGUGAAUAAAUAAGACAGUCACUGCACUUCUACAUGUCCAUUUUCUGCCAAGACGUUUUGCUGAUGUGCAGUUUCUGUGCAGUUUCCCACAGUGUACUUCUCGGCUGACUUAGUUCAAGCUUUGUUAGUUUAAUGCUUAGAAAAGCCUCAUGUUCUUGCAGAAAAUCUUUUGCUCUCAUUACUUUUUUGUGAUAUUAUGGACAACAAUUUCCCUAGGGAGCAUGGCAAUUGAUCCCAGCAGGAUUAUUUACGGUGACAUGGUGGCACUGUUGCCAAUGGGGGCAUUGUCAAAGGGUAGGCUCCUUCAAUGUCAAUUUUAACCCAGCAGCAAAUUCUGCAGUACUAAAUAAUUCUGUCUAUUUUCUUUCUAGUCAGGUAACUGCUGUCAAAUUAAAGAGGUCUUCAAAACUCACAGCACAGUUUUGCUUUUUCAUUACUACAUCUGCAAUUUGAUUGGUGUUAUAUAUUUUCUUGCAUGAAUGAACAUCAAUUAAAGGAGAUGAACAUUUAUAGGAAAUUUAUUCAACUAGAGAGGGUUGCAAUUUUUACAUGUCAACCAUCUGAAUUCAUAUUGCAGUGAUAUUUUUGGAAAACAAGAACUUGUAGAUUAAAUAAGUUUUAUUAGUAUUUCAAAUAAAAUAAAAUAAUUUUCUUAAAAUAUUAAAGCAAAAUCACUGAUAUAUGCCUAUUAAAAUAUUAAAUUAAGUAAAUAUGGUAUUACUACUAAAAUAACUUACAUUUCUGACACGUCACUUACAUUUUAAUUCAGCCUUCCUAAUAAUCCAACUAUAUACCACAUAUUGUUAUGAUGAGGUAACUAAUCCUCAGAGAUACAGAUAACCUUUUCGAAUUAGUGUAUAUAUUAAGUUUAUGAUGGAAGUUUUUGACACUACAUUUAACAUUUUUUUUCUAUGCUACGUUGGUCCUUUCCCUUCAAAAGCUCUUGAAGAACAUUGAAAGAAGGCAACGGCCUUCAUCUGCAUUUCAACCAUCAAAGCAACCAUCACCCUUGUUCACAUACCUAUCGUGAGACAAAAAGAAAUACUUACAUUAAUUUCUAACAUCAUCUCACAGAGUUAAUAUUUUAUUUGUGAACAUUUUACAUCCACUGUCAGCAUUUUUCAAGAACACAAUAUAUUGGUAACUAAAGUCACCAUGUUGUACCAUAGAUCUCUUAAAAUUUUAUUCCUCCUAUCUAACUGUAGUUUUCUAUCCUUUGAUGAACAUCUUUCAAAUCUCAUUUCCAACCACUCCAACCUCUGGUAAUUACCCUUCUACUGUCUACUUAUAUAAGUUAAACUCUUUUAGAUUCCACAUAUGACAGAGUUUAUGUGGUAUUUGUCUUCCUGUGGCUGGAUUUUUGACUUAACGUAAUGUCUUCCAAGUUCACACUUGUCACAAAUGCCAGAAUUUCCUUCUUUUCUGUGGUUGAAUAGUAUUCCAUUGUGUAUAUAUGUCAUGUUUUCUUUAUCCAUUAACCUGUUCAUGGACACAGGUUGACUCCAGAUCUUGGCUACUGUGAAUAGUGCUACAAUAAACAUGGGAGUGUGGAUAUCUCUUCAAUACACUGGUUUUGUACUCUCUCUCUCUCUCUCUCUCUCUCUCUC
Molecule: long non-coding RNA, 13477 nt
Filed under: Homo sapiens (human)
Lineage: Eukaryota; Metazoa; Chordata; Mammalia; Primates; Hominidae
Description: non-protein coding lnc-PLA2G4A-7:5
Source: RNAcentral